GAGAGUUAAACAGUACGUGAAAUUGUUGAAAGGGAAACGAUUGAAGCCAGUCGUACCUGCGGACAAUCAGCUUUUUGAGUGUGAUUAUGUGGAUUGUGAGGAGUUUAAUCACCCUCAUGUUUUACGUAUUCGUGCUCUUGGGUGUACUUGCCCGUGUGGUAGGUUAACAUCAAUUUUGGUCGUCAUAAAAUGACUGGAGGAAUGUAGCUUUGGUCUCGUAUCGAAGUGUUAUAGACUCUGGUAGAUGUGACGAUUGGGAUUGAGGAUUGCAACGGAUACCCUUCGGGGCUACUCGUCUGAUCUCUGAAGGUUGCUCCGGUACCGAAAGCGUGCUUACGGUCAUCGAAAGUGAUUUUCAAAAGGUUAGAACGGGUUAAAUUCGUUAAGGAUGUUGACGUAAUGGCUUUAAACGA
This 413-nucleotide ribosomal RNA is filed under the name uncultured Glomeraceae. Its description in RNAcentral is "partial 28S ribosomal RNA". The record is from RNAcentral. Lineage: Eukaryota; Fungi; Glomeromycota; Glomeromycetes; Glomerales; Glomeraceae.